Molecule: ribosomal RNA, 253 nt
Filed under: uncultured bacterium
Lineage: Bacteria
Description: partial 16S ribosomal RNA
Rfam family: Bacterial small subunit ribosomal RNA
Source: RNAcentral
UACGGAGGGAGCUAGCGUUGUUCGGAAUUACUGGGCGUAAAGCGCACGUAGGCGGCUUUGUAAGUUAGAGGUGAAAGCCCGGGGCUCAACCCCGGAAUUGCCUUUAAGACUGCAUCGCUUGAAUCCAGGAGAGGUGAGUGGAAUUCCGAGUGUAGAGGUGAAAUUCGUAGAUAUUCGGAAGAACACCAGUGGCGAAGGCGGCUCACUGGACUGGUAUUGACGCUGAGGCGCGAAAGCCAGGGGAGCAAACAGG